AGGUGAGAAUACUGGAGUCAGUUUCUCUUUCCUUUUCCAGGGACUCUUCCUGACUCAGGGAUCAAACCCAGGUUUCCUGCAUUGCAGGCAGACCCUCUCCUGACUGAGCCACCGGGGAAGCCCUAUGACAAGAAUAAUCUAAGACCUUCAACAAGAUUUUGCAAUGAUAUAUUGUGAUCAUGUGCGGCUAUAUUUGAAUUACCAAGAUAGGGCAGGUGGCAUGUGAGA
This 228-nucleotide long non-coding RNA is filed under the name Bos indicus x Bos taurus (hybrid cattle). Its description in RNAcentral is "lncRNA (ENSBIXG00005024514.1)". Lineage: Eukaryota; Metazoa; Chordata; Mammalia; Artiodactyla; Bovidae. The record is from RNAcentral.